RNAcentral lists this transfer RNA (73 nucleotides) under bacterium. RNAcentral describes it as "tRNA-Thr". It matches the Rfam family "tRNA". From Rfam's summary of the family: Transfer RNA (tRNA) molecules are approximately 80 nucleotides in length. The record is from RNAcentral.
GCCGGGGUAACUCAGUUGGUAGAGUAGCGGUUCCGUAAACCGCAAGUCGCGAGUUCGAAUCUCGCCCUCGGCU